AUUCACAAUGUCAUUGACAGCCGUAACGUGGUGAGAUUUGGGGGGGUGGGAGGCUCUCUAUUCACGACCCCCCUCCAUUUGCAGAGACUUUAUACAUUGUCAUCUAGCAGGGUGUGAGACUAUGUGACCGGUGAUUCCACUCAUGCCCGAUAGAUGGCAGUGUUCGCUGUGCAUAUUCUCAAUCCUGGCUAAGCACACACAUCAAUACACUUUCACACACACACACACACAUACACACAGCUUCUGGGUGAGAGAGCAGCACAGCAGGGAAUGGCUACCUCUUCUUUUUUUUUUUUUUUCUUUUUUUUACCAAAGGCUGUCUGCUCUACGGCCACCUCCUAAACUGGACCCUCACUGCUCCUUUCACAACCCACAGUGGGCGCCUAGGAAGUCAUGUCAUGGAGAAAAAAAGACGCCUGAUAUUAACCUCUUAAUGAUAGAUGAUGUGCCAGGACUGGCAUGAUAUCAUAGGAUUUGCCUAACCGCUUUGCCCUGAAGGGGUUAACCACGCUCACACUCCCUGCGAACCAGGGCAGCUUGCCUGUGGAUCAGCACAGAGGGGGUUGGAGUGUUUGCGCGUUGUGCAGUGUUCCAUUUGGUUCCUUAGAAUGGGGCAGAAUACAGGCAGUCUCUCGCUGUCCCUCUGCUUCUCCUGGGCAGAUAGGAUGAAUCACAGACUGCUUGCCAAAUACCUCUCUGUGGCUUUUGCUUUGAAUAGGGGGGUAGCUAGGAGACAGCAAGCAGUCAGAGAAGACGGAAUUUUCAACAUGUAAAAUAUUCUUAACGGGGCUAUUGAGAGAGUGCAAUAAGGCGUGAGGGGGAACUAAUCUUUCCAUUUAAAUGUUUGUGGCAAUUUCAUCUAAAUGAAUUUUAAUGCUAAACGAGGGAUAAUUCCCUAUUUGUAGCCCGUUUACAUUUCUUUCCUGUGAUUCUGAUUUCUUGCAUUGAACAAUAACAAUACUUUUAAUAUUUAAUUCAUUUUAAAUACAUUAAUAGCUGAUUAACAAUUCCUCCAUAGAGAUUGG
Pelobates cultripes (western spadefoot toad) is the source of this 1025-nucleotide non-coding RNA. The record is from the annotation of a GenBank genome assembly. NCBI's taxonomy places the organism in Eukaryota, Metazoa, Chordata, Amphibia, Anura, Pelobatidae.